AGGAUAGAGGCGCAGUUGUCAAGAGUAUCCCCGGUGCAAGGCAUCGCAAAGCCGUUGCCGGUGGAGAAAGGGGCCGCUGCCGAAGGCCGUGCGGGCGCGUACAGCCUGGGCAAACGGAGAAGAUCCGUUUGACUGUCGCAUUUGCGGAGCGCUAUUUU
Molecule: non-coding RNA, 158 nt
Filed under: bovine gut metagenome
Also listed under: 1 other name
Description: Lysine riboswitch
Rfam family: Lysine riboswitch aptamer
About the family: Riboswitches are metabolite binding domains within certain messenger RNAs that serve as precision sensors for their corresponding targets. Allosteric rearrangement of mRNA structure is mediated by ligand binding, and this results in modulation of gene expression.
Source: RNAcentral